CAGCAGCCGCGGGAAUACAGAGGGUGCAAGCGUUAAUCGGAAUUACUGGGCGUAAAGCGCGCGUAGGUGGUUUGUUAAGUUGGAUGUGAAAGCCCCGGGCUCAACCUGGGAACUGCAUCCAAAACUGGCGAGCUAGAGUACGGUAGAGGGUGGUGGAAUUUCCUGUGUAGCGGUGAAAUGCGUAGAUAUAGGAAGGAACACCAGUGGCGAAGGCGACCACCUGGACUGAUACUGACACUGAGGUGCGAAAGCGUGGGGAGCAAACAGGAUUAGAUACCCGAGUAGUCCCUGUCUCUUAUAC
RNAcentral lists this ribosomal RNA (301 nucleotides) under uncultured bacterium. Its description in RNAcentral is "partial 16S ribosomal RNA". It matches the Rfam family "Bacterial small subunit ribosomal RNA", at positions 509 to 807 of the family's 1533-position model. The record is from RNAcentral.